Molecule: long non-coding RNA, 642 nt
Organism: Hibiscus syriacus
Lineage: Eukaryota; Viridiplantae; Streptophyta; Magnoliopsida; Malvales; Malvaceae
Exons: 2
Source: RefSeq, a predicted model, not a curated record
AACUAUAUACCUAAACCUAAUUCUUUACCCAAAUUGCUUCUUCUCACGAGCUCUCCCCUCCCUUUUCAUCAAGCGGCGCCGUAAGCUUCCAGGACAAAAAAGCUUGGCCACCAUGCGCCGGUGGUGACCCUUCCCUUCUCUAACGGCCGUUCGCGACGGUCACAACACUAAACCAAGCUUAGAUCAACCUGAAGGGUCCUGAAACGAAGCUAAAAUCCCCAAAAUCAGAACCCCUUUACUUUCCACGGUCCGACGACCUCCUAAUUCCGGCAGCCUUCUCGGAAAAGACCUCAAACGACCAUGGGAGAAGAUCGAUGAGACCUUAACAAAGCGUCAAACGAUUCAAUGGUUAUGGCGAGGCUGGUACGGACGAUCUGGGGGCAGUCAUGGUCGCGCAUGGGUAGCAUUAAUGACACCGGAUUUUCAGCGAUCUGUCUCGGCUGGACGGCUUUGGCUUGACGACUGGGCGGCUGGACGGCUCCCUUGCUUUUUCUCUUGAUGGCUCUUGGAACCCUAGGGUUUCCUGUUAGUAGUGAUUUGGGUCGGUGAAUGGCCCCUUUUUUGGAUAAUGGAUUUCAAUUGAAUUGUAUUUGGUCUAAAGUAUGAACGGGUUUGGGGAAAUCUAAAUGGACUUUAAUGCUA